Molecule: ribosomal RNA, 440 nt
Filed under: uncultured bacterium
Lineage: Bacteria
Description: partial 16S ribosomal RNA
Rfam family: Bacterial small subunit ribosomal RNA
Source: RNAcentral
CCUACGGGUGGCAGCAGUAGGGAAUAUUGCUCAAUGGGGGCAACCCUGAAGCAGCAACGCCGCGUGGAGGAUGAAGGUUUUCGGAUUGUCAACUCCUUUUGUUAGAGAAGAUAAUGCCGGUAUGUAACGAAUAAGCACCGGCUAACACCGUGCCACCAGCCGCGGUAAUACGGAGGGUGCAAGCGUUACUCGGAAUCACUGGGCGUAAAGAGCGAGUAGGCGGGAUAGCAAGUCAGAUGUGAAAUCCUAUGGCUUAACCAUAGAACUGCAUUUGAAACUGGUAUUCUAGAGUAUGGGAGAGGUAGGUGGAAUUCUUGGUGUAGCGGUGAAAUGCGUAGAGAUCAAGAGGAAUACUCAGUGCGAAGGCGACCUGCUAGAACAUAACUGACGCUGAUGCGCGAAAGCGUGGGGAGCAAACAGGAUUAGAUACCCGAGUAGUC